Molecule: ribosomal RNA, 711 nt
Filed under: Brevundimonas mediterranea
Lineage: Bacteria; Pseudomonadati; Pseudomonadota; Alphaproteobacteria; Caulobacterales; Caulobacteraceae
Description: bacterial SSU rRNA
Rfam family: Bacterial small subunit ribosomal RNA
Source: RNAcentral
GUGGCGGACGGGUGAGUAACACGUGGGAACGUGCCUUUUGGUUCGGAAUAACUCAGGGAAACUUGUGCUAAUACCGAAUGUGCCCUUCGGGGGAAAGAUUUAUCGCCAUUAGAGCGGCCCGCGUCUGAUUAGCUAGUUGGUGAGGUAAAGGCUCACCAAGGCGACGAUCAGUAGCUGGUCUGAGAGGAUGAUCAGCCACAUUGGGACUGAGACACGGCCCAAACUCCUACGGGAGGCAGCAGUGGGGAAUCUUGCGCAAUGGGCGAAAGCCUGACGCAGCCAUGCCGCGUGAAUGAUGAAGGUCUUAGGAUUGUAAAAUUCUUUCAGUAGGGACGAUAAUGACGGUACCUACAGAAGAAGCCCCGGCUAACUUCGUGCCAGCAGCCGCGGUAAUACGAAGGGGGCUAGCGUUGCUCGGAAUUACUGGGCGUAAAGGGAGCGUAGGCGGACAUUUAAGUCAGGGGUGAAAUCCCGGGGCUCAACCUCGGAAUUGCCUUUGAUACUGGGUGUCUUGAGUAUGAGAGAGGUAUGUGGAACUCCGAGUGUAGAGGUGAAAUUCGUAGAUAUUCGGAAGAACACCAGUGGCGAAGGCGACAUACUGGCUCAUUACUGACGCUGAGGCUCGAAAGCGUGGGGAGCAAACAGGAUUAGAUACCCUGGUAGUCCACGCCGUAAACGAUGAUUGCUAGUUGUCGGGAUGCAUGCAUUUCG